GAUGAACGCUGGCGGCGUGCCUAAUACAUGCAAGUCGAGCGCGAGAUUGAGGAGCUUGCUCCUCAUGAUCGAGCGGCGGACGGGUGAGUAACACGUAGGCAACCUACCCUUGAGAUUGGGAUAACUACCGGAAACGGUAGCUAAUACCGGAUACGACUUUUCCACAUAAGUGGAAUGGUUAAAAGGCGGAUUUAUCUGCCGCUCAUGGAUGGGCCUGCGGUGCAUUAGCUAGUUGGUGAGGUAGUGGCUCACCAAGGCGACGAUGCAUAGCCGACCUGAGAGGGUGAUCGGCCACACUGGGACUGAGACACGGCCCAGACUCCUACGGGAGGCAGCAGUAGGGAAUCUUCCGCAAUGGACGAAAGUCUGACGGAGCAACGCCGCGUGAGUGAUGAAGGGUUUCGGCUCGUAAAACUCUGUUGUUAAGGAAGAACACUUGAGGUAGUAACUGGCCUUGAGAUGACGGUACUUAACCAGAAAGCCACGGCUAACUACGUGACAGCCGCCGCCGUAA
This 514-nucleotide ribosomal RNA is filed under the name uncultured bacterium. RNAcentral's name for it is "partial 16S ribosomal RNA". It matches the Rfam family "Bacterial small subunit ribosomal RNA", at positions 28 to 523 of the family's 1533-position model. The record is from RNAcentral.